UGGGGAAUUUUGGACAAUGGGGGAAACCCUGAUCCAGCCAUCCCGCGUGUGCGAUGAAGGCCUUCGGGUUGUAAAGCACUUUUGGCAGGAAAGAAACGUCAUGGGUUAAUACCCCGUGAAACUGACGGUACCUGCAGAAUAAGCACCGGCUAACUACGUGCCAGCAGCCGCGGUAAUACGUAGGGUGCAAGCGUUAAUCGGAAUCACUGGGCGUAAAGCGUGCGCAGGCGGUUCGGAAAGAAAGAUGUGAAAUCCCAGAGCUCAACUUUGGAACUGCAUUUUUAACUACCGGGCUAGAGUGUGUCAGAGGGAGGUGGAAUUCCGCGUGUAGCAGUGAAAUGCGUAGAUAUGCGGAGGAACACCGAUGGCGAAGGCAGCCUCCUGGGAUAACACUGACGCUCAUGCACGAAAGCGUGGGGAGCAAACAGG
This 429-nucleotide ribosomal RNA is filed under the name Acidobacteriota bacterium. RNAcentral's name for it is "Acidobacteria bacterium partial 16S ribosomal RNA". It matches the Rfam family "Bacterial small subunit ribosomal RNA", at positions 355 to 776 of the family's 1533-position model. Lineage: Bacteria; Pseudomonadati; Acidobacteriota. The record is from RNAcentral.